RNAcentral lists this ribosomal RNA (497 nucleotides) under uncultured bacterium. RNAcentral describes it as "partial 16S ribosomal RNA". It matches the Rfam family "Bacterial small subunit ribosomal RNA", at positions 28 to 507 of the family's 1533-position model. The record is from RNAcentral.
GAUGAACGCUGGCGGCGUGCCUAAUACAUGCAAGUCGAGCGAACAGACGAGGAGCUUGCUCCUCUGACGUUAGCGGCGGACGGGUGAGUAACACGUGGAUAACCUACCUAUAAGACUGGGAUAACUUCGGGAAACCGGAGCUAAUACCGGAUAAUAUAUUGAACCGCAUGGUUCAAUAGUGAAAGACGGUUUUGCUUUCACUUAUAGAUGGAUCCGCGCCGCAUUAGCUAGUUGGUAAGGUAACGGCUUACCAAGGCGACGGUGAGUAGCCGACCUGAGAGGGUGAUCGGACACACUGGAACUGAGACACGGUCCAGACUCCUACGGGAGGCAGCAGUAGGGAAUCUUCCGCAAUGGGCGAAAGCCUGACGGAGCAACGCCGCGUGAGUGAUGAAGGUCUUCGGAUCGUAAAACUCUGUUAUUAGGGAAGAACAAAUGUGUAAGUAACUAUGCACGUCUUGACGGUACCUAAUCAGAAAGCCACGGCUAACUACGUG